This 45-nucleotide non-coding RNA is filed under the name Schistosoma mattheei. Lineage: Eukaryota; Metazoa; Platyhelminthes; Trematoda; Strigeidida; Schistosomatidae. The record is from RNAcentral.
ACCUUGCUGACGAGUGCUAAAUAGCACGAAACGCGGGUCCAGGGU